Molecule: ribosomal RNA, 468 nt
Filed under: uncultured bacterium
Lineage: Bacteria
Description: partial 16S ribosomal RNA
Rfam family: Bacterial small subunit ribosomal RNA
Source: RNAcentral
GACGAACGCUGGCGGCGUGCUUAACACAUGCAAGUCGAACGGAAAGGCCCUGCUUUUGUGGGGUGCUCGAGUGGCGAACGGGUGAGUAACACGUGAGUAACCUGCCCUUGACUUUGGGAUAACUUCAGGAAACUGGGGCUAAUACCGGAUAGGAGCUCCUGCUGCAUGGUGGGGGUUGGAAAGUUUCGGCGGUUGGGGAUGGACUCGCGGCUUAUCAGCUUGUUGGUGGGGUAGUGGCUUACCUAGGCUUUGACGGGUAGCCGGCCUGAGAGGGUGACCGGCCACAUUGGGACUGAGAUACGGCCCAGACUCCUACGGGAGGCAGCAGUGGGGAAUAUUGCACAAUGGGCGGAAGCCUGAUGCAACAACGCCGCGUGCGGGAUGACGGCCUUCGGGUUGUAAACCGCUUUCGCCUGUGACGAAGCGUGAGUGACGGUAAUGGGUAAAGAAGCACCGGCUAACUACGUG